RNAcentral lists this ribosomal RNA (675 nucleotides) under uncultured bacterium. RNAcentral's name for it is "bacterial SSU rRNA". It matches the Rfam family "Bacterial small subunit ribosomal RNA", at positions 9 to 685 of the family's 1533-position model. The record is from RNAcentral.
GAGUUUGAUCAUGGCUCAGGAUGAACGCUAGCGGGAGGCUUAACACAUGCAAGUCGAGGGGUAUAAGUAGCAAUAUUUAGAGACCGGCGCACGGGUGAGUAACGCGUAUGCAACCUGCCCUUUACAGGGGGAUAGCCCGUAGAAAUGCGGAUUAAUACCCCAUAGUACUAUUGGAUCGCAUGGUUUGAUAGUUGAAGUUUCGGCGGUAAAGGAUGGGCAUGCGUGACAUUAGCUAGUUGGAGAGGUAACGGCUCACCAAGGCUACGAUGUCUAGGGGUUCUGAGAGGAAGAUCCCCCACACUGGUACUGAGACACGGACCAGACUCCUACGGGAGGCAGCAGUGAGGAAUAUUGGUCAAUGGGCGAGAGCCUGAACCAGCCAUCCCGCGUGCAGGAAGAGUGCCCUAUGGGUUGUAAACUGCUUUUUCGCAUGAAGAACACUCCGGACGUGUCUGGAGCUGACGGUAAUGCGUGAAUAAGCACCGGCUAACUCCGUGCCAGCAGCCGCGGUAAUACGGAGGGUGCAAGCGUUAUCCGGAUUUAUUGGGUUUAAAGGGUGCGUAGGCGGUAAUAUAAGUCAGUGGUGAAAUCCUGCAGCUCAACUGUAGAACAGCCAUUGAAACUGCAUUACUUGAGUAAUCUUGAGGUAGGCGGAAUGUGUAGUGUAGCGGCGAA